GAUGAAGAACGUAGCGAAAUGCGAUACGUAAUGUGAAUUGCAAAUUCAGUGAAUCAUCGAGUCUUUGAACGCACAUUGCGCCCCCUGGUAUUCCGGGGGGCAUGCCUGUCCGAGCGUCAUUGCUGCCCUCAAGCACGGCUUGUGUGUUGGGCCCCGUCCUCCGAUCCCGGGGGACGGGCCCGAAAGGCAGCGGCGGCACCGCGUCCGGUCCUCGAGCGUAUGGGGCUUUGUCACCCGCUCUUGUAGGCCCGGCCGGCGCUUGCCGACACAUCAAUCUUUUUUCCAGGUUGACCUCGGAUCAGGUAGGGAUACCCGCUGAACUUAAGCAUAUCAAUAAGCGGAGGA
RNAcentral lists this unclassified non-coding RNA (345 nucleotides) under soil metagenome. RNAcentral describes it as "partial contains 5.8S ribosomal RNA, internal transcribed spacer 2, and large subunit ribosomal RNA". The stretch from base 1 to 119 matches the Rfam family "5.8S ribosomal RNA", at positions 35 to 154 of the family's 154-position model. The record is from RNAcentral.